Molecule: ribosomal RNA, 445 nt
Filed under: uncultured bacterium
Lineage: Bacteria
Description: partial 16S ribosomal RNA
Rfam family: Bacterial small subunit ribosomal RNA
Source: RNAcentral
GUAGGGAAUAUUGGUCAAUGGACGAAAGUCUGAACCAGCCAUUCCGCGUGCAGGAAGAAGAUUCUAUGGAUUGUAAACUGCUUUUAGCAGAGAAGAAACGCCUUCAUUGAUGAGGGUUUGACGGUAUCUGCGGAAUAAGCACCGGCUAACUCCGUGCCAGCAGCCGCGGUAAUACGGGGGGUGCAAGCGUUAUCCGGAAUCACUGGGUUUAAAGGGUGCGUAGGCGGGAAAUUAAGUCAGUGGUGAAAGUCUGUUGCUUAACGAUAGAAUAGCCGUUGAUACUGAUUUUCUUGAAUUGGGUGGAGGUUAGCGGAAUGUGACAUGUAGCGGUGAAAUGCAUAGAUAUGUCAUGGAACACCAAUUGCGAAGGCAGCUAGCUUGGCCUUGAUUGACGCUGAGGCACGAAAGCGUGGGUAGCGAACAGGAUUAGAUACCCUGGUAGUCC